Non-coding RNA from Gossypium hirsutum (cotton), 106 nucleotides. NCBI's taxonomy places the organism in Eukaryota, Viridiplantae, Streptophyta, Magnoliopsida, Malvales, Malvaceae. The record is from Rfam.
AAUCUGUGGUGUGGUCAUUUUUGAAUCAGUGUCUUAAAACGCUCCCAUGCUUCAUGAAAAAUUUUCCUCUCUGAUUGUUUAAACAUCGAAAUUUCCCUUCUUAGCU